This 501-nucleotide ribosomal RNA is filed under the name uncultured bacterium. RNAcentral describes it as "partial 16S ribosomal RNA". It matches the Rfam family "Bacterial small subunit ribosomal RNA", at positions 30 to 523 of the family's 1533-position model. The record is from RNAcentral.
AUUGAACGCUGGCGGCAGGCUUAACACAUGCAAGUCGAGCGGGGGAAGGUAGCUUGCUACCGGACCUAGCGGCGGACGGGUGAGUAAUGCUUAGGAAUCUGCCUAUUAGUGGGGGACAACAUCUCGAAAGGGAUGCUAAUACCGCAUACGUCCUAAGGGAGAAAGCAGGGGAUCUUCGGACCUUGCGCUAAUAGAUGAGCCUAAGUUGGAUUAGCUAGUCGGUGGGGUAAAGGCCUACCAAGGCGACGAUCUGUAGCGGGUCUGAGAGGAUGAUCCGCCACACUGGGACUGGGACACGGCCCAGACUCCUACGGGAGGCAGCAGUGGGGAAUAUUGGACAAUGGGGGGAACCCUGAUCCAGCCAUGCCGCGUGUGUGAAGAAGGCCUUAUGGUUGUAAAGCACUUUAAGCGAGGAGGAGGCUACUUUAGUUAAUACCUAGAGAUAGUGGACGUUACUCGCAGAAUAAGCACCGGCUAACUCUGUGCCAGCAGCCGCCGUAA